CCUCAGCAGAACCAAAAAAUCGGUAAAAAAAAUUUAAAAAAAAAUAAAAACAACAUAAAAAACCCUCCAAAGCGACCCCAAAAGCAGCCGGGCAGCGCUCGGGCCCGGCCCGGCCCGCAGGCCCGGCCGCAGACGGGGCCGGGCUGGCGCUCCGCGCUGCCCCGCGGUGCUGGCGGGCUGUCCCGGGCGGCGGGGCUCGCUGGCCCCGCUGGAACCCCCCUGUCCCGGGAUGCCGGGAUCCCGCUACUCACCGAGCGCCGCUCCCGGGCUCUCCACGGGCGACCGCAGCGGGGCGGAGGCCACGCCCACCGAGCCAGGCCACGCCCACCGAGACAAGCCACGCCCCUUCUCACCGACCACGCCCACCCCGCAUGGCCCCGCCCCUUCCUGAGCGGGGAGGGGGCCGGGAUGGUGGGCGGGGCCAGGAGAAAUGUGGGCGUGGCCACGCCGUUCUCCCAAAUCCAUGCAGAAUUCCACAGCCAAACGCGUCCAGUCCCCCUUGUGAAAAGACCCUCUCACUGCAAAUCAGCUGCAUUUGCCCUCUGCUCAAAGCUUGGAGUGAGUUCUCAACACAGGCUGCCAAGAAGAGACUUGCUGGAAGUGUGAAGAGGACAAAGAUGAGGAUGGAGGCAGCCGCCCAAGCCAGACCCUGUUCUAGUGCCCAGCUGUGCCCAGCUGUGCCAGCAAGGUUCAGCUCCACCACCACGGGACUCUGAACAAACCCAGCCGAGCCACGGCAAUGCUGGGCUCCCCUCCUUCCUCUGCUCCUCCAUCCUUUUUUGCAUUAUUAAAUGUACUCCUGUCUAACAGGAUUUUAUGUCAUCGUUUUUCCCCAAAGUGGGAAAAAAGGAAAUAAUUAGGGGUGGCAGGUCUAGCCCGGCACGCAGCAACACCAUUAAGCAGGAGGCUGCUACGCUGAGUUGGUCUGGAGCCUCUUUAGCAUUUUCAUUAGCUCUCCAAAGCUUUUGAUGUCCCUUAUUUACAACACAGACACUGCAGAGGAGGCAGGCAAUGAUUAAGACAAGCUUUUACUCUUCUGGAGUUCACUGGAUACCUCGUGGCUACGGACCCUGCAUAUAAAGCAAUAUUGCUUAUUAUUCUGUGCUGUUUGUUCCAUUAAUCAUGAGCCUGCUUUGCUCUGGGAAGAGGAAUUGGAAUACAGCAAUAUUCUGUCUGCUUGUUUUUAAAAUACAUGUGUGGGUGGACACUCCAGCUACUGCUCACAUUUUUCUCUCACAAGAAGAGCUGUUCGUGAUUCUCCUCCCCAGUGUUUUCUUCUGACACUGGUUUUGUUCGCCGAACUCAGGAAGGGAACUGCCUCAAGCCUGUCAAUGAGUGUUGUAUGGAAAUAAGGAGUACUAACUGAGAAAUGCUUGAAAUUCGGCAUCCCAGAGAGGAAAAGGAUUUCUUUUCCAUCAUGGAAAGGGGGGUCAGGCUGGACAUUGGACUGGGCUGCCCAGGGAAGUGGUGGAGUCCCCAUCCAAGGAAGGUGACACUCAGUGCUCUGGGCUGGGUGACAAGAGGGGGAUUUGGCACAGAUUGAACUUCAUGGUCUUGGAGGGCUUUUCCAACCUCAGUGAUUCCACGAUCCUGUGGUUCAGUUCAAAGUCACUCACUGCCCUCACAGUCUCAGCCUUCAGCAGCCACCCAGCGGGUCUGGGGAUUCCUUCAGGAUAUUCCAGAAGGAAUUUUCAGAGUGUUCAACUCGUCAUCCUG
Molecule: long non-coding RNA, 1716 nt
Filed under: Chloebia gouldiae (Gouldian finch)
Lineage: Eukaryota; Metazoa; Chordata; Aves; Passeriformes; Passeridae
Description: Erythrura gouldiae (Gouldian finch) lncRNA (ENSEGOG00005014257.1)
Source: RNAcentral